This 253-nucleotide ribosomal RNA is filed under the name uncultured bacterium. RNAcentral describes it as "partial 16S ribosomal RNA". It matches the Rfam family "Bacterial small subunit ribosomal RNA", at positions 524 to 776 of the family's 1533-position model. The record is from RNAcentral.
UACGUAGGGUCCGAGCGUUGUCCGGAAUUAUUGGGCGUAAAGGGCUCGUAGGCGGUUCGUCACGUCGGGAGUGAAAACUCGGGGCUUAACCCCGAGCCUGCUUCCGAUACGGGCAGACUAGAGGUAUGCAGGGGAGAACGGAAUUCCUGGUGUAGCGGUGAAAUGCGUAGAUAUCUGGAGGAACACCGGUGGCGAAGGCGGCAUCCUGGACCAAUUCUGACGCUGAGGAGCGAAAGCCAGGGGAGCAAACGGG